GUAGUUGAUGGACAAUCAGUUAAUAUUCUGAUACCACUUUUAUUUUCGAUGGGGUGACGGAGUAGUGAAAGCACCGCGUACUGACGGAAUAGUACGUUAAAGAGUGUAGGUAUAAGUUUUGUAGGUAAAUCCGCAAGACUUGCCGAACUUGAUAGUACCACAAUCCUACGGGAGCGUGGAUAGUGUGCCUAAACAGACUUCCAAGAAAAACCUCUAAGGUAAGGAUAAAAGUGCCUGUACCGCAAACCGACACAGGUAGUCAAGGAGAGAAUCCUGAGGUGCUCGAGUGAUUCAUGGCUAAGGAACUAGGCAAAAUCGCCCUGUAACUUCGGGAGAAGGGGCGCCCCCACUUGUGGGGGCCGCAGUGAAAAGGCCCAGGCGACUGUUUAUCAAAAACACAG
Molecule: ribosomal RNA, 401 nt
Filed under: uncultured eukaryote
Lineage: Eukaryota
Description: partial Bacterial large subunit ribosomal RNA
Rfam family: Bacterial large subunit ribosomal RNA
Source: RNAcentral